Non-coding RNA from Hydra vulgaris (swiftwater hydra), 226 nucleotides. The record is from RefSeq and is a predicted model, not a curated record. Lineage: Eukaryota; Metazoa; Cnidaria; Hydrozoa; Anthoathecata; Hydridae.
AUUAGUGCAUGCUCUGAGUUUGUAGUUCAGAGCAGUAAUUUUGAAGAUUUAAACAGUUCAGAAGAAGAAUUGCUCCUGUUAAAUUAAGCAGCUCUAAGAUUAAAGCAUCUUUAAAAGAUAUCUCUUCAUUUAAAGAGCAUAAUGAAUCCUUUGUUUCCUUUAAAGUAAAGAAAAGGAGAUCGUCAUGUCGUGAUGAACAAUCUAAUGAUUCUUCGUCCUCAUCUAC